UACGGAAGGCAGCAGUGGGGAAUAUUGCACAAUGGGCGCAAGCCUGAUGCAGCCAUGCCGCGUGUAUGAAAAAGGCCUUCGGGUUGUAAAGUACUUUCAGUCGUGAGGAAGGUGUUAAGGUUAAUAACCUUAGCAAUUGACGUUAGCGACAGAAGAAGCACCGGCUAACUCCGUGCCAGCAGCCGCGGUAAUACGGAGGGUGCGAGCGUUAAUCGGAAUUACUGGGCGUAAAGGGCACGCAGGCGGUUAAUUAAGUUGGAUGUGAAAUCCCCGGGCUUAACCUGGGAAUGGCAUUCAAGACUGGUUAGCUAGAGUCUUGUAGAGGGGGUAGAAUUCCAUGUGUAGCGGUGAAAUGCGUAGAGAUGUGGAGGAAUACCGGUGGCGAAGGCGGCCCCUGGACAAAGACUGACGCUCAUGUGCGAAAGCGUGGGGAGCGAAACAGGGAUUAGAUACCC
This 455-nucleotide ribosomal RNA is filed under the name uncultured bacterium. Its description in RNAcentral is "bacterial SSU rRNA". It matches the Rfam family "Bacterial small subunit ribosomal RNA", at positions 340 to 787 of the family's 1533-position model. The record is from RNAcentral.